Molecule: long non-coding RNA, 1732 nt
Filed under: Salmo salar (Atlantic salmon)
Lineage: Eukaryota; Metazoa; Chordata; Actinopteri; Salmoniformes; Salmonidae
Description: lncRNA (ENSSSAG00000096971.1)
Source: RNAcentral
AUCCUGAAUGACACUACAGCUCAGAUGUGUUCCAAGGGAUUUUUUUUCUAUUCAAACUAUCUUUAUUGAAAAACUUAAGUGAAUGUUUGGCUGCAUAUCUUCCUUCUACAAUCUGUACCUCAUUAAUUCAUCCAUUGGACAAAUAUUGGAUCCAUCCAUCUUUAAAAAAAAAAAAAAUUGUUGAAGUUAUUGUUCAUUUCCAGCAGAUAAUAGGGGGCUUCGCUGAGAGGGGUUGUCAUAGUGACAACAUGCAUAUAAGAUUGAUGCAGCUGCUCAUCCCGUCCUCACUCAGAUCACACAGCAACGGCAGCAGAGUAUAUGUGUUCCAUAGCUAUGAUGAAGGAUUAUAUAGGUCAAAGAGAAGGAUAUUUCUUUUGAACCGUAGGAGUUUUCCUUUCACUGAUUUACACUUCUACAGUAAUAAUAAGACUGAAAUGUCUUUAUCUACAGUGCCAGGGCUGUAGGGCUGCGGUCUCGCUCAUCUUUUUCUCUCUCCUCCCCUACUCUGUCCUGGCACAACUUAAAUGUAAUUUAAUAUAUCCUGAUUUAUGCCCUCUGAAUGGAUUGUUUUUUAAGGGGGAGGGGGGGUGAUCCCUAUGCUUUAAAUCUUAUGUAAUUAAAAGCAUUGCUGAGGAAGAAUUAAUCUUCAAUACACAGAUUGAGGAGUUGCUAUCCUCUGAGAGCAAAGUAAUGACGGCCAACUUUGAGCAAAAUAUGUAAUUAUUACAAAGAUGGAAUAGUGUGCCAUUUAGCCCUGGCUGAUGUAAGGUGCUGUAAUGCUGUCAUUGAUGAUAAUUUUAAGGGAACAAAUUAAGAAGUAACAGAAAUCCUAAGAGAUUUUUCUUCCCACCAGAAUUAUAUUUGAGCCGCUGCUGAGGCAAUCAUUUGAAUGACCCAACGUACUUUCCCCAUUUACAUUGUUUCCUCUAAGUUGGUCACGCCUGAAUGUGGAAAUCUCUAUUGCAUUAUAACAGUAUGUCUAAGGAAACGGACAGUUGCUGGGAAAGAGGUUGUGUCCCUUGCAGUGCAGCCUCAAUACUACAUCUGACUGCAGCAGAGUUUCUGGCAUUACCAAAGACAGGGCAAUUUAGAGUUGUGUUCAGUACAGUUCUGCUCCAGAUUGCUGAGCCUGAGUUAGGGAGAUGAUGCAAUCUGCGGUUUUCUAUAUGCAUUGAUUCAUAAAUCAGAUGAAUAUGUCCUUUUUUUAAGCUCUUUCUGUUAUUCCUGCUUUUUAAUGCAGCGAGACCUUUCCCUCUCCACCCCCUGCUUGGUGACGGUGGUGGAGCAGAGACAUUCUGAUGCUGAGAUACAGCGUUGGAUGUGGAGGGAGCAGAUUGAGAAUGUGUCCCAUCCCCAUACACUAAAGGGCUGAAUGAGGCUGUGUGUGUGUGUGUGUGUUUAUAACUACAGAAGAAACACACUCUUGGGGGUUAAACAGAGCUCUGGAUACACCGCCCAUCCAGCUCUGUCCACCUCUCCACACCUCUCCUUAUGAAGUCUUUGGCCUGGGACUACAUAUUAUACCUUACAGAAACCGUGACCUAUGAAUAAUGUCAAAGAAUGACUACCUUAGAUGGGACAUAACUCUAAAAUAAGGCCUAUUUUUGUACUAUAUAUAUAUAUAUGGUGCAGUGUAAUUUUCUUGUAAUUUAAAGAUUUCUUUUUGCUCUUGUUAAAUUUGUCCUUUUUAUUUAAUUGAUAGAUUCUAUGAAAAAUAAAGAUCUAUGCAAAC